CGGGGUGUAGCUCAGCCUGGUCAGAGCGCUUGGUUCGGGAUCAAGAGGCCGGUGGUUCGAAUCCACUCACCCCGA
This 75-nucleotide transfer RNA is filed under the name Myxococcales bacterium LLY-WYZ-16_1. RNAcentral describes it as "tRNA-Pro". It matches the Rfam family "tRNA". Rfam says of the family: Transfer RNA (tRNA) molecules are approximately 80 nucleotides in length. Their secondary structure includes four short double-helical elements and three loops (D, anti-codon, and T loops). Lineage: Bacteria; Pseudomonadati; Myxococcota; Myxococcia; Myxococcales. The record is from RNAcentral.